AAUUCGCCCUUAGAGUUUGAUCCUGGCUCAGGACGAACGCUGGCGGCAGGCUUAACACAUGCAAGUCGAACGAGAAGCUUUCCUUCGGGGAGGCGGAGAGUGGCGAACGGGUGAGUAACGCGUGGGGAUUUACCCUUCGGUGGGGGACAACCUCGGGAAACCGGGGCUAAUACCGCAUACGCCGGUGCCUGAUGGUAUCGGGAAAGAUUUAUCGCCGAAGGCUGAACCCGCGUCCGAUUAGGUAGUUGGUGGGGUAACGGCUCACCAAGCCCGCGAUCGGUAGCUGGUCUGAGAGGACGAUCAGCCACACUGGGACUGAGACACGGCCCAGACUCCUACGGGAGGCAGCAGUGGGGAAUUUUGGACAAUGGGGGCAACCCUGAUCCAGCCAUGCCGCGUGAGUGAAGAAGGCCUUAGGGUUGUAAACCUCUUUCACCGGUGACGAUAAUGACGGUAGCCGGAGAAGAAGCCCCGGCUAACUCCGUGCCAGCAGCCGCGGUAAUACGGAGGGGGCUAGCGUUGUUCGGAAUUACUGGGCGUAAAGCGCGCGUAGGCGGCGAAACAAGUUGGGCGUGAAAGCCCGGGGCUCAACCCCGGAGGUGCGUCCAAAACUGUUUUGCUCGAGACCGAGAGAGGGUGGCGGAAUUCCCAGUGUAGAGGUGAAAUUCGUAGAUAUUGGGAAGAACACCAGUGGCGAAGGCGGCCACCUGGCUCGGACCUGACGCUGA
RNAcentral lists this ribosomal RNA (728 nucleotides) under uncultured bacterium. RNAcentral's name for it is "bacterial SSU rRNA". It matches the Rfam family "Bacterial small subunit ribosomal RNA", at positions 1 to 749 of the family's 1533-position model. The record is from RNAcentral.